Molecule: ribosomal RNA, 253 nt
Filed under: uncultured bacterium
Lineage: Bacteria
Description: partial 16S ribosomal RNA
Rfam family: Bacterial small subunit ribosomal RNA
Source: RNAcentral
GACAGAGGGUGCAAACGUUGUUCGGAUUUACUGGGCGUAAAGGGCGCGUAGGCGGCUCAUGAAGGCUGUGGUGAAAGUCCGGGGCUCAACCUCGGAUCGGCCGUGGCGACUCGUGGGCUGGAGCACUGUAGAGGCGGGUGGAAUUCCGGGUGUAGCGGUGGAAUGCGUAGAGAUCCGGAAGAACACCAGUGGCGAAGGCGGCCCGCUGGGCAGUGGCUGACGCUGAGGCGCGACAGCGUGGGGAGCAAACAGG